UACAGAGGUCUCAAGCGUUGUUCGGAUUCAUUGGGCGUAAAGGGUGCGUAGGUGGCGCCAUAAGUCAGGUGUGAAAUCUCGGGGCUUAACCCCGAAACUGCAUUCGAUACUGCUGGACUUGAGGGCAGUAGAGGUGCGUGGAAUUCCGGGUGGAGUGGUGAAAUGCGUAGAGAUCAUGAGGAAGACCAGUGGCGAAGGCGGGUCUCUGGACAGUUCCUGACACUGAGGCACGAAGGCCAGGGGAGCGAACGGG
Molecule: ribosomal RNA, 253 nt
Filed under: uncultured bacterium
Lineage: Bacteria
Description: partial 16S ribosomal RNA
Rfam family: Bacterial small subunit ribosomal RNA
Source: RNAcentral